UGGUCAUAUACCAAGGCUUUCAGGACUCUGUGUUCCUGACUUGCUGUGGAGUUGACCAGAAAACAAAAACCAUCCCAGUAGUCUUCUGCAGCAGCCUGCUGUGAAGGCCUACUGGGAACAUGA
Small nucleolar RNA from Lates calcarifer (barramundi perch), 123 nucleotides. Lineage: Eukaryota; Metazoa; Chordata; Actinopteri; Centropomidae. The record is from Ensembl.